RNAcentral lists this long non-coding RNA (512 nucleotides) under Brassica napus (rape). Its description in RNAcentral is "long non-coding RNA (BNAP_LNC007609)". Lineage: Eukaryota; Viridiplantae; Streptophyta; Magnoliopsida; Brassicales; Brassicaceae. The record is from RNAcentral.
AGCUAAGGCUAAGCAAACCGUUACUAAGUUAGACUUGGCCUCCUGCCACGAUCUAACUUCAAGUAACGGGAACCUGCAUUAAAACAAGUCAACAAACAAUCCCUAGCUAACCAUAUAUACGCCUGAGUUCAAUACUCAUGUAGUGUUAGACACUUAGACUAUACAAGUAUCAUUAAUCGAUCAACCAACAAUCAAACAAGAACAUGAUCGGCCAACCAAUGAUACCACAUAGCUUUAAUACCCUUCACAAGCAAUCCCUCAAACAUAUACAUGCCAACAUCAGGCCUACACUAACCAAAUACACACCAAGCCUAAUCCGGUACCUAAACCAGACUUAAGACUUAAUGUCAGAACCUGCAAGCAAAUCAGUCAACCACAAACACAAUCACAAUAAUAAGACUAUGAGUAACUACGACUCGAUCUAACUUGUAACACCGUAUAUCGAUGUUACACUAACUCGAUCUAAACACAACACAACACACUACCCCGGGAAAUGGUGACUUAGUGUUCAU